RNA transcript from Dioscorea cayenensis subsp. rotundata (Guinea yam), 4100 nucleotides. It is a transcript of the gene named probable starch synthase 4, chloroplastic/amyloplastic, with no coding region annotated. NCBI's taxonomy places the organism in Eukaryota, Viridiplantae, Streptophyta, Magnoliopsida, Dioscoreales, Dioscoreaceae. The record is from RefSeq and is a predicted model, not a curated record. The transcript is spliced from 17 exons.
UAUCUUCCAUUUCAGUUGCUCUUUUUCUUUGCGCCUUUCAUGGCAGCGCAGCAACACUCUCUCCAUUGCUUCAGAGCUCGAACAGCCCCAAGUUCUUGUCUUCGAUCCUUCGCUUGUUGUUUGAUUGAUCGAUGCCAAUGGCGUCGGAGGCCUGCGCUGUGCUUCUCGGCAGUGUUGGGCCUGUUGGUCCUGGCUUGGGUUGCCUGAAGAUGCCCCCAGAUCGACCUCUCUUUGCGUCUUCCCAACGGUUCCUCUCCAUCUCUUGCAAGAUGAGGCAGAGGAAUCUCGGCUCCCAGCCAAAGAGGCAGAGAAGCAAAAAGUUUCCACCUAAAAGCUCUACGGUAAAUAUGAAAUCUCAGUCUAAUGAUGAUGAAGACAAUGGAGCUCAAGAUGCUUCUGGUGGUCAUCAACUAAAUUCUGACUCCCGUACUCUUUCCAGUGCUAAUGGUGAUAGCAACUCUAUUGCCAUGACAGUUGAAACAUUGCCCUCUGCAAACGAUGGAGUUACUCAGAUAGAAAAAGUUCAUGGACGACAAAUUCCAAGUGUUCGUCUUGAAGAUCUGAUAGCAAUGAUCAGGAAUGCUGAAAAAAAUAUAUUGCUUCUCAAUGAAGCUCGUGUUCAAGCAUUGGAAGACCUUGACAAAAUUCUUUCAGAAAAGGAGGCUUUGCAAACUGAUAUAAACAAUUUAGAAAUGAAGUUGACAGAAACUGAUGCAAGAACCAAAGCUGCAGCCCAGGAGAAGAUCCAUGUAGAACUUCUUGAAAAUCAGCUUGAGAAACUUAAGGAUGAAAUGACCUCAAAUAGAUUUUUAGGUGAAAAGCAUGAUUUACGUGACAAUGAGGAGAAACUGAAUUUAGAUUCUGUUACAUUGGGUGCAAAAAACUCUCCUCUAGCUCAGGAAUUGAGCACCCUGCAUAAGGAGAACAUGCUACUGAAGGAUGAUAUCCAGAAUCUCAAGGCGGAGCUUGAUGAUGUCAAGGAAACUGAGCAGCGUGUAUUGAUGCUAGAAAAGGAACGCUCAAUUUUGGAGAUUUCCCUUAAAGAGUUGGAAUCUAAGCUUGCAAUUGCCCAGGAAGAUGUUUCAAAACUUUUUGCUGUGAAAUCUGAUUGCAAAGCUUUAUCAGAGAAGGUAGAAAGUUUACAAGGCUUGCUUGAUCAGGCAACUAAACAAGCUGAACAGGCAGUCACAGUUUUACAUCAUAAUCAUGAGCUUCAAAGGAAGGUUGAUUUACUAGAAGCUUCCUUGCAAGAAGCAAUUGCAGUUAAUUAUUCAUCUGAAAAAGCUCUAAAAUACAAUGAGCUCUUGGAACAGAAAGUUAAGUUACUGGAGGAGCGCCUUCAGAUAUCUGAUGAAGAAAUAAAUUCUCACAUUCACAUGUAUCAAGAAUCUGUGAAAGAAUUUCAAGAUAUUGUUGAUAAACUAAAAGAAGAAAUCAAGAAAAAAUCACUUGAAGAAACAAUGGAUGAUAUGCCAUCGGAGUUUUGGAGUCGUUUGUUGCUUACAAUCGAUGGUUUGUUACUUGAAAAGAAAAUAUCCUUAAAUGAUGCAAGUUCGUUGAGGGAAAUGGCAUGGAAGAAAGAUAAUCUGAUACGUGACGCAUAUUUGGCUUGCAAGGGAAAAGUUGAUAAUGAAAAUUUGUCUUCAUUCCUCAAACUUGCAUUGUCCAGGCCUAGUUCUGGGUUAAACAUCAUUCAUAUCGCUGCAGAAAUGGCACCUAUUGCAAAGGUUGGCGGUUUAGGUGAUGUUGUUUCUGGCCUUGGUAAAGCACUACAGAUGAAAGGACACCUUGUUGAAAUAAUUCUUCCUAAAUAUGAUUGCAUGCAAUAUGACCGUAUUUGUGAUCUUAAGGUCCUUGAUGUAGCGCUACAAUCUUAUUUUGAUGGGCAGCUGUUCAAGAAUCAAAUUUGGGUUGGGACUGUUGAAGGUCUUCCUGUCUACUUGAUAGAGCCGCUUCAUCCUGCAAAGUUCUUCUGGAGGGGACAAGUCUAUGGAGAGCAUGAUGAUUUUAAACGUUUCUCAUACUUCAGCCAUGCAGCACUUGAGUUGCUUUAUCAAUCUGGGAAGAAACCCAAUAUAAUCCAUUGCCAUGACUGGCACACUGCUUUUGUUGCACCGCUUUACUGGGACAUUUAUGCAACAAGAGGUUUUAAUUCUGCUAGGAUUUGCUUCACUUGUCACAAUUUUGAAUAUCAGGGAGUAACAUCUGCUUCAGAAUUGGCAUCGUGUGGCCUUGAUGUUCACCACCUACAUAGACCAGAUAGGAUGCAGGACAACUCUGCACAUGAUAAAGUGAAUCCUAUUAAGGGAGCUAUUGUGUACUCGAAUAUUGUUACAACUGUAUCACCAACUUAUGCUCAAGAAGUACGCACUACAGAGGGUGGCCGUGGACUGCAAGAAACACUGAAUUUCCAUUCGAGGAAAUUUGUUGGAAUUCUUAACGGAAUUGAUACAGAUGCAUGGAAUCCUUCUACAGACAUGUUUCUAAAAGUUCAGUACAGCCCUGAUGAUCUUCAAGGGAAAACACAGAACAAAAAAGCUUUGAGAAAAUAUCUAAAUCUGUCUACUUCAGAGGCCUUUAGACCAUUGGUUGGGUGUAUCACAAGACUUGUACCACAGAAGGGUGUACAUCUCAUCAGGCAUGCAAUUUAUCGAACACUGGAAUUAGGGGGGCAAUUUGUGCUUCUAGGUUCAAGCCCAGUACCUCACAUUCAAAGGGAGUUUGAGGGUAUUGCUAACCAUUUCCAAAGUGACCCUCAUGUUCGGUUGCUACUAAAAUUUGAUGAAGCCCUCUCACACACAAUAUAUGCAGCUACCGAUAUGCUUAUUAUUCCAUCAUUGUUUGAGCCCUGUGGACUUACUCAGAUGAUAGCUAUGAGAUACGGUUCUGUGCCGAUUGUGCGGAGCACUGGUGGUUUAAAUGAUAGUGUGUUUGAUAUUGAUGACGAUUCAGUUCCAUUACAAUUCCGUAAUGGGUUUAAGUUCACAAGACCAGAUGAACAGGGACUAAGCGAAGCCAUGGAAAGGGCAAUUAAUUAUUAUUUUAGAAGUCGAGAAAGUUGGCAGCAGCUUGUUCAGAAGGUAAUGAGAAUGGAUUUUGGUUGGGAUGCUUCUGCUGCACAAUAUGAAGAGCUCUAUGAAAAGGCUGUGGCUAGAGCGAGGGCAUCAAAAAAUUUGUAAUUCUCUUUCGGUUCUUGAUCCUCUCCCUCUUCUUAAUUGGGCAUGCUACCAAUUGGUUUCCCAAAUUCAUAUCUGUCUUGCCAUGCUAUAAGAUGGGUUACAGCUCUUGGUUCUGAUUCUCUGCUCUUUGCUGAUGAGUGCAAAAGCAUAUGUCUACACACAAUGCAGGAUGACUUUUUGCAAGGAAACUUGGCAUAGUUGUGGGGACAAUAUUCUCGCUGUUGUAAAUGUGAUCACAAGUUUGCCCUUCAUGUUAUACACCUGAGAAAGAAAGCAAUAUGUUAAGUGUUGAUUGAGAAAUUUCAUCAUUAUCUUGGGAUUCUUUGUAGUACCAGACAUUCAACUCUGUACUGUUUCAAAGCAAGUCAGGAGGCUCCAAAGUCUUUCAUUUUAAGGUAAGUGGCAUCCUCUUCCUCUAAAUCUUAUUAUUCUUCUUGUUAGACCUUGAGAAGUACAUAAUAGAAAAUCUAUUUCUCAAGUUUAGAAAUAUUACUGUUAAUCUGUCAAAUGUUUUCAUGAUUCCUCUGUGCUUUACUAGUUACCUUGCAUUACUUUUCAUUGUUCACCUUCGGCAUCAAGUUUUUCACCUUUCUAUACCAAUGGAUAUAUCAUCCUAGUAUGAUUGGCCAAUUUUUUAGCUUGAGUUCCCAGCCACUAGUCACACGACAGAUUAUAUGUAGAAUCGCACAAUUUCUGGCUUAUUAGUUUGCAACCUAAGGAACACAGACAAACGUUACAUAAACAUUGUUGAAAAUAAAACUGCUGGUACAGAGCUCAAUAUUUUACAUUGCCAACACCAAUCUCAAUCCACAAGCACAAGAUUACAAUGUCCAAGAUGAUUCAGUGCUGGUGGAAAAGAUGGAGCGGCAGACAAGCAACAUCCAUUGCUCCUCACUCAUUUGCCAGGGACGAAGUUGGUGG